Molecule: ribosomal RNA, 252 nt
Filed under: uncultured bacterium
Lineage: Bacteria
Description: partial 16S ribosomal RNA
Rfam family: Bacterial small subunit ribosomal RNA
Source: RNAcentral
UACGGAGGAUGCAAGCGUUAUCCGGAUUUAUUGGGCGUAAAGCGUCCGUAGGUGGUUCAUCAAGUCUGCUGUCAAAGCGCGAGGCUUAACUUCGUACAGGCAGUGGAAACUGGUGGACUUGAGAGUGAUAGGGGCAGAGGGAAUUCCCAGUGUAGCGGUGAAAUGCGUAGAUAUUGGGAAGAACACCGGAGGCGAAGGCGGGUUGCUGGGCCGACACUGACGCUGAGGCGCGAAAGCCAGGGAGCGAACGGG